CCACUUCCCAUCCGGCCUAUGCUGAGGCACAUCCUGCAAGGCAGCAGGUGACGCAAGCGCUGGACUCCCUGCCAUCCACACAGCAGAUCCGGAUGCAGGUCUGGGCUAUUCCCUGCCAUCUACACAGCAGAUCCGGAUGCAGGUCUGGGCUAUUCCCUGCCAUCUACACAGCAGAUCCGGAUGCAGGUCUGGGCUAUUCCCUGCCAUCUACACAGCAGAUCCGGAUGCAGGUCUGGGCUAUUCCCUGCCAUCUACACAGCAGAUCCGGAUGCAGGUCUGGGCUAUUCCCUGCCAUCUACACAGCAGAUCCGGAUGCAGGUCUGGGCUCCUGGCCUCAGCCUGGCCUCGCCAGGCCCACUGUGGACACUUGGGGACUGAACCAGCAGAUCGCAGAUCUCUUUAUAUGUGUCUUUCUCUGCCUUUCAAACAAUAUGAAAAUCAGUUAUUUAAAAAAAAUUACGGGAAGGUAUUCAUAGGGCUCCUGUUAAGAGCCAUGAACAUGGUGGACUGGAGCAUCCUAAGGGGCUGUGGGA
Oryctolagus cuniculus (rabbit) is the source of this 533-nucleotide non-coding RNA. The record is from RefSeq and is a predicted model, not a curated record. Lineage: Eukaryota; Metazoa; Chordata; Mammalia; Lagomorpha; Leporidae.